RNAcentral lists this long non-coding RNA (1023 nucleotides) under Homo sapiens (human). Its description in RNAcentral is "HSALNT0318656". The record is from RNAcentral. Lineage: Eukaryota; Metazoa; Chordata; Mammalia; Primates; Hominidae.
CCGCCAUGAUUGUGAGGCUUCCCCAGCCAUGUGGAAACAUAUUCGCAGAGCACCCACUAGGUGCCAGUAAAUGUAUGAGAAGUCCUGUGGAAUAAGACUGAAGUUGUCCUUGCCUUCAAGCAACUUGCAAUUGCCUAAGAACACAGUUUAAAACCACAAAACUAAGCCUUGGAAAUCACAUGCUGUCAUUUCUGCGAUCGGUCAUAACCAGUCCUGAUUCCAUGUUAGAGGAGACUACAUAAGGACACAGGUACCAGAAGAAACUUCUAAGUGCUGCUGUAUUUCACCAAGCUCCAGUUGAUAUCCAAAUUGGACAACUCCUGUGUGCCAGGACAAUUAAAAGGUAAAGUUGAAAAAUGAUUUGAACAACAAAGGCAAAUUAAAAGCCCUCCCUGGAGCAAAGAUUGAAUCAAGAGUAUGGCUGUUAUGCUUCUGUUAAAACCUCUGAAUCAGUUAAGAGAAACGUAUGUCUCAACAGGGCCUGAUUAUUCACCUGGGCAACAGAAUCCAAGAACAUAGGCCACAGAGGCACAGUAGCUGACCCACAGCCUCUAACGUGUAAACUUCCUAUGUAAGCUGUCUCAUUUUCUCCGAAGCCAUGUGCUUGUUUUGCAGUAUCAUGUGGAAGAAAUAUUUGAAGGAUUUAGACUAAUUUUAAAUCCUGCUUCUGCUGCUUGCCAGGAGCAUGUCAACAGGGCCACCAAGAUGACACUGAGGCCCCUACCCAGCAUCCCAAAGGCAGUAUCACAGCAAAAGCUUUAAAAAAUAAAUUUAUAUUUCCUUCAUCACAAAUGUUAUGAAUACCAAUUAUAGAAAAUGUAGAAAUCCAAUAAAUUAGAAAGAAGAGAGAAAAAAUUACCCAAAGCCUACCACUCAGAAUGAAAAAUUUGGAGUCUAGUGAAAAGAAGUGACUUGCUCAAAAUCACACAGCACAUGAAGAACAGAGCCUCUAUGAUGAAUUUCUUGACAGCAUAAAGAAUUCUUGCAAACAACAAAGGAGACUUAGCUGAAACUUUUGGCCUC